Molecule: ribozyme, 70 nt
Filed under: Rodentolepis nana
Lineage: Eukaryota; Metazoa; Platyhelminthes; Cestoda; Cyclophyllidea; Hymenolepididae
Description: Hymenolepis nana HDV ribozyme from F. prausnitzii
Rfam family: HDV ribozyme from F. prausnitzii
Source: Rfam by way of RNAcentral
GGUGUGCGAUAGACUUACCUCCACGUGGUGCACCCUGGGCAACGUAUACUUAUACGGCAAAAAGGUCAAU